Molecule: transfer RNA, 69 nt
Filed under: Geococcyx californianus (greater roadrunner)
Lineage: Eukaryota; Metazoa; Chordata; Aves; Cuculiformes; Neomorphidae
Description: tRNA-Phe
Source: RNAcentral
GUCCUUGUAGCUUACACUAAAGCAUGGCACUGAAGAUGCCAAGACGGCACCUAUCUCGCACCCAAGGAC